CCUGCUUCCAGGAAAAGCCUCUAAGCAUCAGGUAACAUCAAAUCGUACCCCAAACCGACACAGGUGGUCAGGUAGAGAAUACCAAGGCGCUUGAGAGAACUCGGGUGAAGGAACUAGGCAAAAUGGUGCCGUAACUUCGGGAGAAGGCACGCUGAUAUGUAGGUGAAGUCCCUCGCGGAUGGAGCUGAAAUCAGUCGAAGAUACCAGCUGGCUGCAACUGUUUAUUAAAAACACAGCACUGUGCAAACACGA
This 252-nucleotide ribosomal RNA is filed under the name Escherichia coli. RNAcentral describes it as "partial 23S ribosomal RNA". It matches the Rfam family "Bacterial large subunit ribosomal RNA", at positions 1601 to 1834 of the family's 2925-position model. Lineage: Bacteria; Pseudomonadati; Pseudomonadota; Gammaproteobacteria; Enterobacterales; Enterobacteriaceae. The record is from RNAcentral.